UGAGGGAAUAUUUGGGGUCAAUGGGCGAGAGCCUGAACCAGCCAAGUAGCGUGCAGGACGACGGCCCUAUGGGUUGUAAACUGCUUUUAUAUGGGGAUAAAGUGAGUUACGUGUAGCUUAUUGCAGGUACCAUAUGAAUAAGGACCGGCUAAUUCCGUGCCAGCAGCCGCGGUAAUACGGAAGGUCCAGGCGUUAUCCGGAUUUAUUGGGUUUAAAGGGAGCGUAGGCCGUCUUUUAAGCGUGUUGUGAAAUACUGUCGCUCAACGACAGAGGUGCAGCGCGAACUGGGAGACUUGAGUGCGCGGAAUGCAGGCGGAAUUCGUCGUGUAGCGGUGAAAUGCUUAGAUAUGACGAAGAACUCCGAUUGCGAAGGCAGCUUGCAGUAGCGUAACUGACGCUGAAGCUCGAAAGUGCGGGUAUCGAGCAGGAUUAGAUACCCUGGUAGU
Molecule: ribosomal RNA, 446 nt
Filed under: uncultured Prevotella sp.
Lineage: Bacteria; Pseudomonadati; Bacteroidota; Bacteroidia; Bacteroidales; Prevotellaceae
Description: bacterial SSU rRNA
Rfam family: Bacterial small subunit ribosomal RNA
Source: RNAcentral